GGGUUGCUAGCUCAACGGUAGAGCGCUCGCCCGCAGAGCGAGCGGUUCCUGGUUCGAUCCCAGGGCGGCCCU
Molecule: transfer RNA, 72 nt
Filed under: Acanthamoeba castellanii str. Neff
Lineage: Eukaryota; Discosea; Longamoebia; Acanthamoebidae
Rfam family: tRNA
About the family: Transfer RNA (tRNA) molecules are approximately 80 nucleotides in length. Their secondary structure includes four short double-helical elements and three loops (D, anti-codon, and T loops).
Source: Rfam by way of RNAcentral